Meriones unguiculatus (Mongolian gerbil) is the source of this 724-nucleotide long non-coding RNA. RefSeq lists it as uncharacterized. The transcript is spliced from 3 exons. Lineage: Eukaryota; Metazoa; Chordata; Mammalia; Rodentia; Muridae. The record is from RefSeq and is a predicted model, not a curated record.
CUCCGUCAGCCUCCGCUUGUGGCUUUCCCUGACAGAUGUUCAGCAUUCCUGGGAUCUCUGGCCUCCUGGGAUUCCCACUCUAUCUUUGGCUUAUAAAUACACGUGAGCCACUCAGCAGCUGCCUGCUAGGACUGCAGUCCCACCACACAGUGCUUGACUUUCCGGGUCUUCCUUGGACGUCUUGGCGGAAGCCUCCAUUGCUCUUUCACUCCUAUAUUCUGCAUGCUCGGGGAACCAGCAUCGUGCGAUGAGGAUUUGCUGCCAGCUUAAGAAGUAGCUGUGCUCCCGCUUCAUCCCAGUAGCUGCAGUGACUCCUGGGCUACAUGGCCGCCGAAUGCAGAAAGCUGCUUCUCUAGUUGGUCCUAAGUGAGGAUCCCCGGAGCCGCCUUCUUGAAGCAAAAGAUUUCAGUUCAUCCUGGUGGAGAGAGUAUGGCAGAACAGCUCACAUGGAAGCCAGGAAGCUGAGAGAGAACACCUGUCCUCGAGGGCUAUUUCCUUCCCAUCUUCCUCCAUCUAAGACCCCAGCAUGCUGGACGGUGCUGCCCUGAUUCAGGGGACCAGAUGGCUUGGUGGUUAAGAACACUGGUUGUUCCUCCAGAGGACCCUGGUUCGUUUUCCAGCGCUCACAUGGUAACUCACAUGUCUGUGACUCAAGUCCUAUGGGAUCCAACACCCUCUUCUGGCCUGACAUAGUUGUGGUACACAGAUAUACAUGCAGGCAAAU